RNAcentral lists this ribosomal RNA (410 nucleotides) under uncultured microorganism. RNAcentral's name for it is "bacterial SSU rRNA". It matches the Rfam family "Bacterial small subunit ribosomal RNA", at positions 509 to 917 of the family's 1533-position model. The record is from RNAcentral.
CAGCAGCCGCGGUAAUACGUAGGGUGCGAGCGUUAAUCGGAUUUACUGGGCGUAAAGCGUGCGCAGGCGGCCCGUUAAGACAGGUGUGAAAUCCCUGGGCUCAACCUAGGAAUUGCGCUUGUGACUGGCGGGCUCGAGUACGGUAGAGGGGGGUAGAAUUCCUGGUGUAGCAGUGAAAUGCGUAGAGAUCAGGAGGAACACCGAUGGCGAAGGCAGCCCCCUGGGCCUGUACUGACGCUCAUGCACGAAAGCGUGGGGAGCAAACAGGAUUAGAUACCCUGGUAGUCCACGCCCUAAACGAUGGGUACUAGCCGUUUGGUGCGCGAUAGCGCUGAGUGGCGAAGCUAACGCGUGAAGUACCCCGCCUGGGGAGUACGGCCGCAAGGUUGAAACUUAAAGGAAUUGGCGGG